GAAUAAAUUCGUCUGUGGCUUCGGCCCGGAUGGUAAUUCUAUCCAUAACACCUGUGAACUGUUGGAUGCUUGCAUCCACUUUUAAACUAAACAUUAUUGUAACAAAUGUAGUCUUAUUAUAACAUAAUAAAACUUUUAACAACGGAUCUCUUGGCUCU
RNAcentral lists this unclassified non-coding RNA (158 nucleotides) under rhizosphere metagenome. RNAcentral's name for it is "partial ribosomal RNA internal transcribed spacer region". The record is from RNAcentral.